Molecule: unclassified non-coding RNA, 918 nt
Filed under: Hevea brasiliensis (rubber tree)
Lineage: Eukaryota; Viridiplantae; Streptophyta; Magnoliopsida; Malpighiales; Euphorbiaceae
Source: RNAcentral
UGAUAGUUGGACAAUUUCUUGGGCAACUCGCUAUCAAUUUCCAGUUCCUGAUCAAGAGAUGCAUCCUCAGUAGAUUUCAGAGAAUGAGGUGUUUCCAGUUUAUCCCCAGCUGGCAUUGAUAUUAGAAGAUUCCAACUAUCCAGACGGUUAAUUGGACCUGUUGCAACUCUAUCAAGAAUACUUUUUGUGGCUGACUUCCAGUUAAAAGGAAAUGAGCCCCCCCAUCCAAAACUCCUGGAUAAGUCAUUUCCUGUGCCAAGUGGGAUUAUUCCUGUUGGUGGAACUGGUUCUCGGCCCUGUUUCUUAAGAUCUCCAAGGCAGCCAAGAAUCCAUCCAACGGUGCCAUCACCUCCUGCUGCCACGACUCUUAUCCUUUCACGAGUCACUUUUGCACAACUGUCACCAAGAGCAGCAAACUUCUCCAGGCAACUCAAUCCAUAUUGAACAAACUCAUGAGGAUUCACAUCUGAAAGGUCAAAAACCUGUUCUUCACCCAUGAGUUCCUGUAGCCUAGCUUUAAGCUGUGGACCAUGUCUUCCACCACUUUUAGAAUUAAUAAAGACGAUAAUCGGCUCUUCCGCUGGCUGAGGAAUCUCGGCGCCGGCGGCAUAAGCCGUAUCGAGAUGCCGUCUUACUGUAUCGACAUCCUUAUUCUGUAUAGCCUCCCUUAUGGCCAGCCUUAAAUAUUCCGGCAUAGUAAUUCUCCUCCGUAGAUCCUCUUUGGAAAUCCUAACUCCGGCGAAAGUAAAACCUUUAAUUGACUCUACCACCGACGAUCUCCCUGAUGCCGUUCUCCGACUUGCUGUCGAAUCCAUCUUUGCGAAUCGAAAAUAGAGUAUAGAAAAAGACAGAGAGUGGUGAGUUAUGAGAACAAGUUGUUAAAGUUGAGAAGUAUAAGUAAAAGAAGCGCUAAAGGAG